This 506-nucleotide ribosomal RNA is filed under the name uncultured bacterium. RNAcentral describes it as "partial 16S ribosomal RNA". It matches the Rfam family "Bacterial small subunit ribosomal RNA", at positions 28 to 523 of the family's 1533-position model. The record is from RNAcentral.
GAUGAACGCUAGCUACAGGCUUAACACAUGCAAGUCGAGGGGUAACAAGAGGAAAGCUUGCUUUUCUUGUUGACGACCGGCGCACGGGUGAGUAACGCGUAUCCAACCUGCCUAUAACUAGGGAAUAACCUUGCGAAAGUAAGACUAAUACCCUAUGAUUUCCUUUGAUGACAUCAGAUUAGGAAUAAAGAUUUAUCGGUUAUCGAUGGGGAUGCGUCUGAUCAGCUUGUUGGCGGGGUAACGGCCCACCAAGGCAACGAUCAGUAGGGGUUCUGAGAGGAAGGUCCCCCACAUUGGAACUGAGACACGGUCCAAACUCCUACGGGAGGCAGCAGUGAGGAAUAUUGGUCAAUGGGCGGAAGCCUGAACCAGCCAAGUAGCGUGCAGGAUGACGGCCCUAUGGGUUGUAAACUGCUUUUAUACAGGAAUAAAGUUAGCCACGUGUGGUUAUUUGUAGGUACUGUAUGAAUAAGGACCGGCUAAUUCCGUGCCAGCCGCCGCAGUAA